Molecule: ribosomal RNA, 395 nt
Filed under: uncultured bacterium
Lineage: Bacteria
Description: bacterial SSU rRNA
Rfam family: Bacterial small subunit ribosomal RNA
Source: RNAcentral
AAUCAACGCUGGCGGCGUGCCUAACACAUGCAAGUCGAACGCGAAAGUCCCGCAAGGGAUUAGUAGAGUGGCAAACGGGUGAGUAACACGUGGGUGACCUGCCUUCGAGUGGGGGAUAACGUCCCGAAAGGGACGCUAAUACCGCAUAACAUCCUGCCUUUGAAGAGGUGGAGAUCAAAGCUGGGGACCGCAAGGCCUGGCGCUGGAAGAGGGGCCCGCGUCUGAUUAGCUAGUUGGNGAGGUAACGGCUCACCAAGGCAACGAUCAGUAUCCGGCCUGAGAGGGCGGACGGACACACUGGGACUGAGACACGGCCCAGACUCCUACGGGAGGCAGCUAGNGGGGAAUUGUUCGCAAUGGGCGCAAGCCUGACGACGCAACGCCGCGUGGAGGAU